UACGUAGGGUGCGAGCGUGGUCCGGAUUUAUUGGGCGUAAAGAGCUCGUAGGUGGUUUGUCGCGUUGUCCGUGAAAGUCCCUGGCUUAACUGGGGGCGUGCGGGCGAUACGGGCAGACUGGAGUACUGCAGGGGAGACUGGAAUUCCUGGUGUAGCGGUGGAAUGCGCAGAUAUCAGGAGGAACACCGGUGGCGAAGGCGGGUCUCUGGGCAGUAACUGACGCUGAGGAGCGAAAGCGUGGGGAGCGAACAGG
RNAcentral lists this ribosomal RNA (253 nucleotides) under uncultured bacterium. RNAcentral's name for it is "partial 16S ribosomal RNA". It matches the Rfam family "Bacterial small subunit ribosomal RNA", at positions 524 to 776 of the family's 1533-position model. The record is from RNAcentral.